CUAAUAGGCCUAAGGAAAUAAUGUAAUAUUCUGCACUCCUUGGCCUUUGUGUGAGGUAUGUAAUCCUGACUUUCUGGCAAGAAGAAUUCCAGAAUAUGUGCACCUUGUUCCUCAUUCCUUGACUUUUCAAUUGGUUCAGAUGACUCUAUUUCUAUCUCAUCUUCCAAACACAAUGUGGAAAAAUGUUUGGAGCAUGGACCAAUGCACUCAAACACAUGAGCUUCAGAACUUUCAACAUCCUCAACAUCAAUAAUACUAGAGUCAACAAAAUUUAUAUCCUCAAAGUCCUUGGUUGGCUCUAGUCUCACUUCUUCA
Molecule: long non-coding RNA, 315 nt
Filed under: Nicotiana benthamiana
Lineage: Eukaryota; Viridiplantae; Streptophyta; Magnoliopsida; Solanales; Solanaceae
Description: long non-coding RNA (NBEN_LNC022476)
Source: RNAcentral